AGAUAAUAGAUACCCAGGUAGUCCACGCCCUAAACGAUGUCAACUGGCUUUACGGAGUAUCGACCCUCUGUGAGGCGAAAGCUAACGCGUUAAGUUGACCGCCUGGGUAGUACGACCGCAAGGUUAAAACUCAAAGGAAUAGACGGGGGCUUGCACAAGCGGUGGAGCGUGUGGCUUAAAUUCGUCGCUAAGCGAAGAACCUUACCAGGGCUAGAAAUCCUACUGCACGUCUAGCGAAAGCUAGAAAGCCUUCGAGGGUGUAGGACAGGUGAUGCAUGGCUGUCGUCAGUUCGUGGUUUGAAUCGUUCCCUUCAGUGGGGUAACGAACGCAACCCUCGUUGCCAGUUACAAGUGUCUGGCGAGACUGCCCCCUCACGGGGGGUAGGAAGGUGAGGAUGACGCCAAGUCAGCAUGUCCCUCUGAUGUCCUGGGCUGCACACGCGCUACAAUCGCCUUUACAAAGGGACGCAAUGCGGUAACGCGGAGCAAAU
This 491-nucleotide ribosomal RNA is filed under the name uncultured bacterium. Its description in RNAcentral is "bacterial SSU rRNA". It matches the Rfam family "Bacterial small subunit ribosomal RNA", at positions 775 to 1272 of the family's 1533-position model. The record is from RNAcentral.